This 821-nucleotide ribosomal RNA is filed under the name Coprinellus flocculosus. RNAcentral describes it as "eukaryotic LSU rRNA". It matches the Rfam family "Eukaryotic large subunit ribosomal RNA", at positions 73 to 881 of the family's 3401-position model. Lineage: Eukaryota; Fungi; Basidiomycota; Agaricomycetes; Agaricales; Psathyrellaceae. The record is from RNAcentral.
GAUUCCCCUAGUAACUGCGAGUGAAGCGGGAAAAGCUCAAAUUUAAAAUCUGCUAGUCUUUGGUCGUCCGAGUUGUAAUCUAGAGAAGUGUUACCCGCGUCGGACCGUGUACAAGUCUCCUGGAAUGGAGCGUCAUAGAGGGUGAGAAUCCCGUCUUUGACACGGACUACCAGGGCUUUGUGGUGCGCUCUCAAAGAGUCGAGUUGUUUGGGAAUGCAGCUCAAAAUGGGUGGUAAAUUCCAUCUAAAGCUAAAUAUUGGCGAGAGACCGAUAGCGAACAAGUACCGUGAGGGAAAGAUGAAAAGAACUUUGGAAAGAGAGUUAAACAGUACGUGAAAUUGCUGAAAGGGAAACGCUUGAAGUCAGUCGCGUCUUCCGGGAAUCAGCCUUCCUUCUGGUUGGUGUACUUCCUGGUCGACGGGCCAGCAUCAGUUUUGACCGGUGGAAAAAGUUCGAGGGAAGGUGGCACCUCCGGGUGUGUUAUAGCCCUCGUCCGUAUACAUCGGUUGGGACUGAGGAACUCAGCACGCCGCAAGGCCGGGAUUCGUCCACGUUCGUGCUUAGGAUGCUGGCAUAAUGGCUUUAAUCGACCCGUCUUGAAACACGGACCAAGGAGUCUAACAUGCCUGCGAGUGUUUGGGUGGAAAACCCGAGCGCGUAAUGAAAGUGAAAGUCGAGAUCCCUGUCAUGGGGAGCAUCGACGCCCGGACCAGACGUUUUCUGACGGUUCUGCGGUAGAGCAUGUAUGUUGGGACCCGAAAGAUGGUGANCUAUGCCUGAAUAGGGUGAAGCCAGAGGAAACUCUGGUGGAGGCUCGUAGC